UACAUGGGGUGCAAACGUUGCUCGGAAUUAUUGGGCGUAAAGCGCACGUAGGCGGUUUGUUAAGUCGGAUGUGAAAUCCCUCGGCUUAACCAAGGAAGUGCAUCCGAAACUGCAGAGCUUGAGUACUUAAGAGGAUCGCGGAAUUCCCGGUGUAGAGGUGAAAUUCGUAGAUAUCUGGAGGAACACCGGUGGCGAAGGCGGCAUCCUGGACCGACACUGACGCUGAGGAGCGAAAGCCAGGGGAGCAAACGGG
This 253-nucleotide ribosomal RNA is filed under the name uncultured bacterium. Its description in RNAcentral is "partial 16S ribosomal RNA". It matches the Rfam family "Bacterial small subunit ribosomal RNA", at positions 524 to 776 of the family's 1533-position model. The record is from RNAcentral.